RNAcentral lists this ribosomal RNA (254 nucleotides) under uncultured bacterium. Its description in RNAcentral is "partial 16S ribosomal RNA". It matches the Rfam family "Bacterial small subunit ribosomal RNA", at positions 524 to 776 of the family's 1533-position model. The record is from RNAcentral.
UACGGGGGGGGCAAGCGUUGUUCGGAAUUACUGGGCGUAAAGGGCGCGUAGGCGGCCUGCUAAGUCGGACGUGAAAUCCCUCGGCUCAACCGGGGAACUGCGUCCGAUACUGGCGAGGCUUGAGUCCGGGAGAGGGAUGUGGAAUUCCAGGUGUAGCGGUGAAAUGCGCAGAUAUCAGGAGGAACACCCGUGGCGAAAGCGGCUCUCUGGGACGGUACUGACGCUGAGACGCGAAAGCGUGGGGAGCAAACAGG